This 1367-nucleotide ribosomal RNA is filed under the name uncultured bacterium. RNAcentral describes it as "16S ribosomal RNA". It matches the Rfam family "Bacterial small subunit ribosomal RNA", at positions 8 to 1370 of the family's 1533-position model. The record is from RNAcentral.
AGAGUUUGUUCCUGGCUCAGAUUGAACGCUGGCGGCAGGCCUAACACAUGCAAGUCGAGCGGUAGAGAGAAGCUUGCUUCUCUUGAGAGCGGCGGACGGGUGAGUAAUGCCUAGGAAUCUGCCUGGUAGUGGGGGAUAACGUUCGGAAACGGACGCUAAUACCGCAUACGUCCUACGGGAGAAAGCAGGGGACCUUCGGGCCUUGCGCUAUCAGAUGAGCCUAGGUCGGAUUAGCUAGUUGGUGAGGUAAUGGCUCACCAAGGCGACGAUCCGUAACUGGUCUGAGAGGAUGAUCAGUCACACCGGAACUGAGACACGGUCCAGACUCCUACGGGAGGCAGCAGUGGGGAAUAUUGGACAAUGGGCGAAAGCCUGAUCCAGCCAUGCCGCGUGUGUGAAGAAGGUCUUCGGAUUGUAAAGCACUUUAAGUUGGGAGGAAGGGCAGUAAAUUAAUACUUUGCUGUUUUGACGUUACCGACAGAAUAAGCACCGGCUAACUCUGUGCCAGCAGCCGCGGUAAUACAGAGGGUGCAAGCGUUAAUCGGAAUUACUGGGCGUAAAGCGCGCGUAGGUGGUUUGUUAAGUUGGAUGUGAAAUCCCCGGGCUCAACCUGGGUACUGCAUUCAAAACUGACUGACUAGAGUAUGGUAGAGGGUGGUGGAAUUUCCUGUGUAGCGGUGAAAUGCGUAGAUAUAGGAAGGAACACCAGUGGCGAAGGCGACCACCUGGACUAAUACUGACACUGAGGUGCGAAAGCGUGGGGAGCGAACAGGAUUAGAUACCCUGGUAGUCCACGCCGUAAACGAUGUCAACUAGCCGUUGGAAGCCUUGAGCUUUUAGUGGCGCAGCUAACGCAUUAAGUUGACCGCCUGGGGAGUACGGCCGCAAGGUUAAAACUCAAAUGAAUUGACGGGGGCCCGCACAAGCGGUGGAGCAUGUGGUUUAAUUCGAAGCAACGCGAAGAACCUUACCAGGCCUUGACAUCCAAUGAACUUUCUAGAGAUAGAUUGGUGCCUUCGGGAACAUUGAGACAGGUGCUGCAUGGCUGUCGUCAGCUCGUGUCGUGAGAUGUUGGGUUAAGUCCCGUAACGAGCGCAACCCUUGUCCUUAGUUACCAGCACGUAAUGGUGGGCACUCUAAGGAGACUGCCGGUGACAAACCGGAGGAAGGUGGGGAUGACGUCAAGUCAUCAUGGCCCUUACGGCCUGGGCUACACACGUGCUACAAUGGUCGGUACAGAGGGUUGCCAAGCCGCGAGGUGGAGCUAAUCCCAUAAAACCGAUCGUAGUCCGGAUCGCAGUCUGCAACUCGACUGCGUGAAGUCGGAAUCGCUAGUAAUCGCGAAUCAGAAUGUCGCGGUGAAUACG